This 1035-nucleotide ribosomal RNA is filed under the name uncultured bacterium. RNAcentral's name for it is "bacterial SSU rRNA". It matches the Rfam family "Bacterial small subunit ribosomal RNA", at positions 47 to 1082 of the family's 1533-position model. The record is from RNAcentral.
CCUAACAUGCAAGUCGAGCGAGAAAUAACGAGGUGAGAUUUCGGUCAAGCGACGUUAUGGAAAGCGGCGGACGGGUGAGUAACGCGUAGGCAACCUGCCCCAUACAGAGGGAUAGCCUCGGGAAACCGGGAUUAAAACCUCAUAACGCGAGGAGUUCACAUGAAGACCUCGCCAAAGAUUUAUCGGUAUGGGAUGGGCCUGCGUCUGAUUAGCUGGUUGGUGAGGUAACGGCUCACCAAGGCGACGAUCAGUAGCCGACCUGAGAGGGUAAUCGGCCACAUUGGAACUGAGACACGGUCCAAACUCCUACGGGAGGCAGCAGUGGGGAAUAUUGCACAAUGGGCGAAAGCCUGAUGCAGCAACGCCGCGUGAGCGAAGAAGGCCUUUGGGUCGUAAAGCUCUGUCCUAGGGGAAGAAAAAAAUGACGGUACCCUUGGAGGAAGCCCCGGCUAACUACGUGCCAGCAGCCGCGGUAAUACGUAGGGGGCGAGCGUUAUCCGGAAUUAUUGGGCGUAAAGAGUGCGUAGGUGGUCUUGUAAGCGCGGGGUGAAAGGCAAUGGCUCAACCAUUGUUAGCCUUGCGAACUGUGAGACUUGAGUGCAGGAGAGGAAAGUGGAAUUCCUAGUGUAGCGGUGAAAUGCGUAGAUAUUAGGAGGAACACCAGUGGCGAAGGCGACUUUCUGGACUGUAACUGACACUGAGGCACGAAAGCGUGGGGAGCAAACAGGAUUAGAUACCCUGGUAGUCCACGCCGUAAACGAUGAGCACUAGGUGUCGGGGUCGCAAGGCUUCGGUGCCGCAGUUAACGCAUUAAGUGCUCCNCCUGGGGGAGUACGCACNCAAGUGUGAAACUCAAAGGAAUUGACGGGNACCNCCCAAGCAGCGGANCAUGUGGUUUAAUUCNAAGCAACGCCNAAAAACCUUACCAGGACUNGACNUCCCUCUGAAAGCCCUUUANCNGGGGUCCCUCUUCNGANCAAAAGAAAACCGGUGGUGCAUGGUUGUCCUCCCCNCNUGUCCNGAAAUGUNGGUUAA